GACGAACGCUGGCGGCAUGCCUAACACAUGCAAGUCGAACGAGGGUAGCAAUACCCUAGUGGCGAACGGGUGAGUAACGCGUGAGCAACCUGCCUUUAACUGGGGAAUAACACAAAGAAAUUUGUGCUAAAACCGCAUAAGACCACGACCCUGAAUGGGGUUGAGGUAAAAACUCCGGUGGUUAAAGAUGGGCUCGCGUCCCAUUAGCUAGUUGGUGGUGUAACGGACCACCAAGGCGACGAUGGGUAGCCGACCUGAGAGGGUGAUCGGCCACACCGGGACUGAGAUACGGCCCGGACUCCUACGGGAGGCAGCAGUGGGGAAUAUUGGGCAAUGGAGGAAACUCUUACCCAGCAAUGCCGCGUGAAUGAAGAAGGUCUUCGGAUUGUAAAGUUCUUUAAUUGGGGACGAAGUCAGUGACGGUACCCAAGGAAUAAGCCCCGGCUAACUACGUGCCAGCAGCCGCGGUAAUACGUAGGGGGCAAGCGUUGUUCGGAAUGACUGGGCGUAAAGGGUGCGUAGGCGGACGCAUAAGUUGGAAGUGUAAUACCUAGGGCUUAACCCAGGUGCUGCUUCCAAAACUGUGUGUCUUGAGUGCAGGAGAGGAAAGUGGAAUUCCUAGUGUAGCGGUGGAAUGCGUAGAUAUUAGGAGGAACAUCGGUGGCGAAGGCGACUUUCUGGACUGUAACUGACGCUGAGGCACGAAAGUGCGGGGAGCAAACAGGAUUAGAUACCCUGGUAGUCCGCACCGUAAACGAUGGAUACUAGAUGUGGGAGGUAUCGACUCCUUCCGCGUCGUAGCAAACGCGAUAAGUAUCCCGCCUGGGGAGUACGGCCGCAAGGUUGAAACUCAAAGAAAUUGACGGGGACCCGCACAAGCAGCGGAGCAUGUGGUUUAAUUCGAAGCAACGCGAAGAACCUUACCAAGACUUGACAUCGCGCGCUGGUCCUAGAGAUAGGACGUUCCUUCGGGACGCGUGGACAGAUGGUGCAUGGUUGUCGUCAGCUCGUGUCGUGAGAUGUUGGGUUAAGUCCCGCAACGAGCGCAACCCUUAUCCUUAGUUGCCAAUAUUAAGUUAGGAACUCUAGGGAGACUGCCGUGGAUAACACGGAGGAGGGUGGGGAUGACGUCAAAUCAUCAUGCCUCUUACGUCUUGGGCUACACACGUGCUACAAUGGCUAUUACAAAGAGCAGCGAACUCGAGAGAGGAAGCGAAUCUCAAAAAGGUAGUCUCAGUUCGGAUUGAGGGCUGCAACUCGCCCUCAUGAAGUCGGAGUUGCUAGUAAUCCCGAAUCAGAAUGUCGGGGUGAAUGCGUUCCCGGG
RNAcentral lists this ribosomal RNA (1324 nucleotides) under uncultured Eubacteriales bacterium. RNAcentral describes it as "uncultured Clostridiales bacterium 16S ribosomal RNA". It matches the Rfam family "Bacterial small subunit ribosomal RNA", at positions 28 to 1378 of the family's 1533-position model. The record is from RNAcentral. Lineage: Bacteria; Bacillati; Bacillota; Clostridia; Eubacteriales.